RNAcentral lists this non-coding RNA (27 nucleotides) under Mus musculus (house mouse). The record is from RNAcentral. Lineage: Eukaryota; Metazoa; Chordata; Mammalia; Rodentia; Muridae.
UAGGAAAGCAGAACUUCUUUUGGGGAA